This 490-nucleotide ribosomal RNA is filed under the name uncultured bacterium. RNAcentral's name for it is "bacterial SSU rRNA". It matches the Rfam family "Bacterial small subunit ribosomal RNA", at positions 1040 to 1529 of the family's 1533-position model. The record is from RNAcentral.
GGUGCAUGGUUGUCGUCAGCUCGUGUCGUGAGAUGUUGGGUUAAGUCCCGCAACGAGCGCAACCCCUAUCCUUAGUAGCCAGCGAGUAAAGUCGGGCACUCUAGGGAGACUGCCGGGGACAACCCGGAGGAAGGUGGGGAUGACGUCAAAUCAUCAUGCCCCUUAUGAUUUGGGCUACACACGUGCUACAAUGGCGUAAACAAAGGGAAGCGAACCUGUGAAGGGAAGCGAAUCCCAAAAAUAACGUCUCAGUUCGGAUUGUAGUCUGCAACUCGACUACAUGAAGCUGGAAUCGCUAGUAAUCGCGGAUCAGAAUGCCGCGGUGAAUACGUUCCCGGGUCUUGUACACACCGCCCGUCACACCAUGGGAGUCGGAAAUGCCCGAAGUCUGUGACCUAACCGCAAGGGAGGAGCAGCCGAAGGCAGGUCGGAUGACUGGGGUGAAGUCGUAACAAGGUAGCCGUAUCGGAAGGUGCGGUUGGAUCACCUC